GUCCCUUUAACUCUCAUCAGACCCCUGCGUGCGUCGGAAACCCCCCUUUCUAGAUGAGGAAACGAAGACAUCAGCAGUCCUAUAACCCCGGCGUGGGGUGACGCUGCCGGCCACCCAGAGACUGGCCCCGCCGCCCGCGCUGCGGGGUCUCGUGUCUCCUGGACGGUGGGCGUGCGCCACGUCAGGAGCGUCUGUCCAUCCGUGUCCGCCGUCGCCCCUGUGCCCAUGUCCCGUCUCCUAACACGAGUGCGAAGCCGGAUGCCUUCACCCAGACCGGAGGGUCACGAGACCAGCCCUUCGGAGGAGAAGAGGAUGGCGAGUGCGGGGGCAGAGGGAUAAGUGAGUUUCCUUGGAGAAGUUGGUGAGAGCUACAGAACUGACAGACGGAGACUUCAGGGCUGGUCCUGUCAUCAUCCACCAGGCUGGGAGAACCUGAUCUUGGGAGCCCUCCUGAGAUCCCACUAGACCUGCUGUCUCUUCCCUUGGGUGUUCCUUAACAGCACCUGGAUGCCAUUUCAGGACUGACCAUCCAGCAUCUCUGGAGAUUGAAAUGAAAUGCUGACCUACAAUGGAAGGCAGCAACCCUCACACCCAGCCUAAGGAGUGCCAGGAAGCAAGUACCCUUUUACCUCCCAAGACUGUUGAUUUGUAACCUUAAGACUCUGAGCUUUGUUAUCGAAACCUGCAAUAUCAGAGGUUUAGAGAAUUGGGUUGGUUCACUAAAAGUUGUAAACUAUG
This is a long non-coding RNA of Equus quagga, 738 nucleotides long. RefSeq lists it as uncharacterized. Lineage: Eukaryota; Metazoa; Chordata; Mammalia; Perissodactyla; Equidae. The record is from RefSeq and is a predicted model, not a curated record. The transcript is spliced from 2 exons.